UGUGUUGUGUGUGUGUUGUGUGUAUGUGUGUGCGUGCGUGUGUGUGUGUGUGUGUGUACACACACACACACACAUACACACACACGCACACACACACACACACACCAAUAUAUAUAUUUAUAUAUAUAUAUAUAUAUAUAAUAUAUAUAUAUAUAUAUAUAUAUAUAUAUACACACAC
This 178-nucleotide small nucleolar RNA is filed under the name Penaeus vannamei (Pacific white shrimp). RNAcentral describes it as "Litopenaeus vannamei (Pacific white shrimp) Small nucleolar RNA SNORA23". Lineage: Eukaryota; Metazoa; Arthropoda; Malacostraca; Decapoda; Penaeidae. The record is from Rfam by way of RNAcentral.